This 403-nucleotide ribosomal RNA is filed under the name uncultured bacterium. Its description in RNAcentral is "partial 16S ribosomal RNA". It matches the Rfam family "Bacterial small subunit ribosomal RNA", at positions 30 to 526 of the family's 1533-position model. The record is from RNAcentral.
AUUGAACGCUGGCGGCAGGCCUAACACAUGCAAGUCGAGCGAGAGGCGGACGGGUGAGUAAUGUAUGGGGAAUGUCCGAUAGAGGGGGAUAACUACUGGAAACGGUAGCUAAUACCGCACACUAUCGGCUACCCCAUAUGGGAUUAGCUAGUAGGUGGGGGAAUGGCUCACCUCGGCGACGAUCCCUAGCUGGUCUGAGAGGUUGAUCAGCCACACUGGGACUGAGACACGGCCCAGACUCCUACGGAGGCAGCAGUGGGGAAUAUUGGACAAUGGGCGCAAGCCUGAUGCAGCCAUGCCGCGUGUAUGAAGAAGGCCCUAGGGUUGUAAAGUACUUUCAGUCGGGAGGCGUUACCGACAGAAGAAGCACCGGCUAACUCCGUGCCAGCCGCCGCGGUAAUAC